UCAGGUGGUCUCUUAUAUGGACACGCAUAACAAUUAUGUCCCGAUUAUAUCAAGAUUAAAUCUAAGGUAGAGCUCAGAUCAGAUCUAUUUUUAAGCCAAAUCUCUUCUUGUGGCUAGAUGUGGACUGUAUGUACGGUCCACUGAAUGCUGGUUUAAAAUGAGAUUGCAUAUCUUCCAUUAGCUGCAAUUGUAUGGAGUGCUUGAAUUUGGUUCAUUUUCUAAAAUGCUUAUCAAAAUGAUUCUUUCAGAUAUGCAUCCAGCUACAAGUUGAUCACACCUUAGUAUGUGUCAUCACGAGUACAGUCUGGUUGUACAGGAGGCAUGGUGCUGGCAUCUGCUCAGCUUCUGCGGAGGCCUCAGGAAACUUACAAUUAUGGUGGAAGGACAUGCAUUAGCAUCAGAAUCACAUAAGGAAAGCUGCUAUGGUCAGCAGACUCACAAUAUCAGCCCCUACGCUGACCAAGUGGUUGUCAUGGAAUUUCCCUUCCUGUACUGUCAAAUCUCCAAAUAACUGCAAUUUGGAACAGCCUGUUUGCUGAACCUGGGGGCAAAAGAGGGGAAAAAUUGUCAAAGCAGAUGAGGCAAAAGUACUUCAGGUAAGUAAAGUAACUCCUUUUACUUCAGCUCCUCAAUUCACUCAUUCAUAAAUAUGUAAU
Molecule: long non-coding RNA, 656 nt
Organism: Symphalangus syndactylus (siamang)
Lineage: Eukaryota; Metazoa; Chordata; Mammalia; Primates; Hylobatidae
Source: RefSeq, a predicted model, not a curated record